Molecule: ribosomal RNA, 253 nt
Filed under: uncultured bacterium
Lineage: Bacteria
Description: partial 16S ribosomal RNA
Rfam family: Bacterial small subunit ribosomal RNA
Source: RNAcentral
UACGAAGGGGACAAGCGUUGUUCGGAAUCAUUGGGCGUAAAGGGCGCGUAGGCGGACUUGUAAGUCGAUUGUGAAAUCCCUGGGCUUAACCCGGGAAUUGCAGUCGAAACUGCAAGUCUUGAGUUCUCAAGAGGAUGGUGGAAUUCCAGGAGUAGUAGUGAAAUACGUAGAUAUCUGGAGGAACACCGGCGGCGAAGGCGGCCAUCUGGUGAGACACUGACGCUGAGGCGCGAAAGCAUGGGGAGCAAACAGG